CUUGGGGGAAAUCCUUUUGCACACUUGUGGGGGGUGGGGGGGGCUGGGAGCCAAGUCUGCUUCUCUCCCUCCCAGGCUGGGAUGCCUCUUAUCACUGGGGGCUAAGUUUAGCAAAAUGUUUUUCCCUAUUUCCUCUGGGAGUAAGCUACAGGGACCCAGUCACCCUUGCAUGCAUUCUUUGAGUUUUCUUCAUUCUGCAGAUAUGUUUUGAGAACCUACUAUGUGCUAAAUACUGGAAAAUCUCAAGAAAUCCAAAGAUGGCCUCCAAAGCUGCUUUUGGGGCCAGCAGCUGCAGUAGAACGCCACAACUCCUUCUCUCUGCCCAAGGAGGCCUGUUGCUGACAGCCAUCCAGCUUCAGCGCACACUUUGUUAUUUCGCGUUUCACUUGGGAUAAACAGUUGCAAGAACAACUUGAGAAGUGUAUUGCUCUGCACGGAAGAGGAGGAACACGGACUGGUCCCAGGAGAGAUCAAACUGCUGUAGAAGAAUGAAAACUUCCUAGAGUGUGGCCUUGGCACAUGCUGUUUAAAGUAUGGCAAUGGCCGGGAAAAAGAUCUUGACCUGGAUUAU
Molecule: long non-coding RNA, 571 nt
Organism: Mustela erminea (ermine)
Lineage: Eukaryota; Metazoa; Chordata; Mammalia; Carnivora; Mustelidae
Exons: 3
Source: RefSeq, a predicted model, not a curated record